CCUACGGGAGGCUGCAGUGAGGAAUAUUGGUCAAUGGCCGCAAGUCUGAACCAGCCAUGCCGCGUGCAGGAAGACGGCCCUAUGAGUUGUAAACUGCUUUUGUACGAGGGCAAACGCCAAUUCGCGUAUCUGUCUGAAAGUAUCGUACGAAUAAGCAUCGGCUAACUCCGUGCCAGCAGCCGCGGUAAUACGGAGGAUGCAAGCGUUAUCCGGAUUUAUUGGGUUUAAAGGGUGCGUAGGCGGGCGGAUAAGUUAGAGGUGAAAUCCCGAGGCUCAACUUCGGAAUUGCCUCUGAUACUGUUCGGCUAGAGAGUAGUGGCGGUAGGCGGAAUGUAUGGUGUAGCGGUGAAAUGCUUAGAUAUCGCGCAGAACCCCGAUUGCGAAGGCAGCGUACCGGCGCCACACUGACGCUGAGGCACGAAAGCGUGGGUAUCGAACAGGAUUAGAUACCCGAGUAGUC
This 460-nucleotide ribosomal RNA is filed under the name uncultured bacterium. RNAcentral describes it as "partial 16S ribosomal RNA". It matches the Rfam family "Bacterial small subunit ribosomal RNA", at positions 338 to 795 of the family's 1533-position model. The record is from RNAcentral.